This is a long non-coding RNA of Macaca fascicularis (crab-eating macaque), 3945 nucleotides long. NCBI's taxonomy places the organism in Eukaryota, Metazoa, Chordata, Mammalia, Primates, Cercopithecidae. The record is from Ensembl.
UUUUUUUUUUUUUUUUUUCAAACUUUUAUUAUGAGGCCAUAUUAGGGAAUUCCAGAAAAUCUAGUGUUUAUUAAAUAUUUCAAGACUCUGCUAGUGAGGAAUCUUUUAAUCACAGUUGACAGAAACCCAAUUUAAACUAGCAAAACAAGUGGGAAUUUAUUAAUUCACAUAAUUGAAAAGUUAGUGUGUAGACUGGUUCAGCUAAAGCUGGACCUAGGUACUCAAAUGAUCUGGUUGUGUUUCUGUUUCCACUUCUCUUUCUCUGCUCUGCUUGUAUCCACUUCUCUUUGCAUGUUAGUGUCACUCUUUCCUACUGUAGAUACUCUUUCCAUAUCCUAGGAAAGGCAGCUUCUGGUGGGCCUAGGCCAACAUCCUUACAACUUGCUAACAUAAAUGAAGAGAAUAGUCUUCCCUCAGUAGAUCCAGGAGAAGAACCCCCCAGGGGCACCUUUGUAGCCCAGAUUGGACAAACUGCCCAUCCCUAAACCAGCCACUGUAACUGGAGGAAUGCAAUACUACAGCUGGCCCACUGCAGGUCACUGCCCACGUGUGAAGGCAGGAGGAGGCACAAGUCACCUUCAUGGACAGCCCCACCAGGAUCACACCAGGUAGGGGAGCAGGUUCCCAAAGGAGAAAGAGGAGGAUGGGAGAGUAUGCGCAGCACAUGACAGCUAUAACUAGCACAGUUGAUCUCCCAGCUAUUUGGAAGACUCCCUUCCAUCUCAGCAGUGGGGAUACAUCACCACAGGCCCCAGACAGUUACUGGGGAAGCACUGCAGAUGGAUGACAAUUCUCCUGCAAUAUAUAAUGAUGAGAAAUACACUAAAGACACUUUCAAAUCAGCAUCCAAAAACCCUCCUGACAAAGAUUUUUUUCCCAAUGCUCAAAAUGGAAGACCCUAUUGAAUUCUAAAAUAGAGAAGCAGAGCAACCAAUCGCUCCCCAGUUCCUCCCCUAGUAAUAAGAGUCACCUGGUUUAGCUCUUGUGUCUUACAUUAGCAUAUCUGAAAUCUGGUCAUUUAAAAUUAGAUCGUAAAUGGAACAAGCAUCCAUAUGGCACUGAGGAUGUGCCAGGCACUAUUCUAAGUGUGUUACAUAUAGUAAUACUUGCAACAACCCCGUGAAGCAUGACCUACUAUUAUUUCCAUUUAUGGCUGAAGAUGUCAGAGCACAGACAGGUCACACCACAUGUAAGAUUUGAAUCCAGGUGGUUUGAUCCAGAGUCUGUGCUCCUUACUCCAAGGUUAGACACAGAACCUCUACUCCAGAUAGGUCAUAAUGCAAAAAUGGUGAGCAAGGGAACAGGAAAAAAGGGACACACUGAAAAAGAAGAGUCUGCAACAGAAUAAAUAAGCAGAUAUAAUAUUAGUAACAUAACCUAGACACUGAACUGUCAGCUCAGAAGCAUAAGCCUGUCCGCGUAGCCCCAACAUUGUCUAUGGAGGGUGUGAGCAGUCUGGUUUAACAAAUCCAGGUUAAAGACUCAUCACAUUCUACUGGCAUGAAAAUAUCCUCCCCUUUUCCACAGAUGCUGUGCCCAUAAAGGCAGCCUGGUGUCUGGAGAUAACCUCACCACAUAGUGCCCGAUACAAUGUCGGGUACAUUGUCAUGCUCAAUAGCAUUCCUUUAAUUUUCCUUAGGAGAACCAUAAGAGCUGAAAAACUAGAUUCAAGGAUCAAGUAUUAAUUGAGUACCUACUAUGUACCAGACCCUGGGCUGGGCCCUGAGGACACAGCAAUGAUGAGACAGGCACAGCUAUGCACCCACAGUAUCUUCCACUAAGCCUGGCUCAUCCCAUACUUAAGCUGAGGUUAACCAGAAUUUUUGGCAUCUUUUAUAAGCAGCCCUGAUAUCUGGAUGAUAUACACCUGUACAGACAUACUGCUUGGUAAAAUACUGAAAUAUUUUGUACUACUUGAUAAACAGUCACUGCCUAAGUCUCUGGGGUAUCUCACCACUACCCCCACCCUGCCCUGACCCCACUCUUAGGAACCCCAAACAUUCCCCAUGAUCCAUCAACUGGGGGGCAGCUCAGGCCUGACAGGGGACCCCCAGGUCCCCAUUCCAGCGUAUGUCCUACAUUCAUUCUGAUUGGUGGGUAUCAAUGCCCCUGCUUGUAAUCACUAAAAGUAGCCCCAAAUCCCCCUUUCCACAAGCUUUUAACUCAUACUUUUCUGGUUGACUGCCAGGUCUCUUUAGAAACAGUAGGUCUUUAUUUUUAAAAAAAUAAAAUAAUAAAAUAAAGGAGAAUCAUCAGACACACAAUGUGACAAUUAGCAACUGUCUGGCAAUGACUUGCUGAUUCAGAGGACAUCAUGCCAAGAUGGGACCAAAUUACCUCCUCCUCCUCUGCCACCCACUGCAGCUUCUAUCAGCAGAUACCUUCAGAACAGAGGCCCCAGUGACAGGGACCCAGAUGGCCCAGCAACCAAGGGAACGGGCAGGACCUUCUCACCUCCCCUGGCCUCUCACAGACACAGACUCCUGCUGGCUGUGUCAGUCACGAAAGAGUGCAAACAACACCACUCAGGGAGUUUCACCCAUCUGCUCACAUGACACCUUGGUUGCUGGGAAAUCCCUGUACCUAUCCAGGUGCCAGGAAAGAUCAGGAUGGGCCCUGACAGAGAUCUUCAAAACCAGACUCAAACGCAGUAGGGUUCCCCAUGAACACUUUGUUCUCAACCUUGGCUGCCCCUUAGAAUCACUCAGGAAUGCUUUUAAGAUAUAGAUGCCAGGCCCCAGCCAAUUCCAUUAGCAGAUCCAGUGGGGCCUGCCAUGGCUUAGGGGACUCCAGAUAUGGGAACUGCCUCCAAGGGUCAGUCAGAUGGAUCCCUGGGGUUCCUCUCUCCUGUAUAAGUCAGUAGCCCAAAAGGGGAAUGUCCAGACAUCAUUCUGGCUCCAGGUUCCCCCUCCCACCCUGCCCACAUGCUCAUACAGCAGAUGGAGCUCUGAGAGGUGCCUCCUUUCCACUGGGGGAAAGGUCCUGGGAAUAAAGGGUUCUGGCAUUUUGCCCACACAUGGUAGCUGGACAGUAAGGACAAGAAAGAUAUUUAUUCAAAUCCUAAUAUGACACUGUGAGUUUAUUAGCAUCAUUCAGUAUAAUAUUUUAGAGAUUUCUGGGUUUUUUUUUUCUAACUGCUAACUAAAAUUUUUAAAUAUCUAGAAAUUAAUAUUUAAAAGUUGACUUCUCUUUUUUUUUCCUUUUUCUUUUUUUUUUUUUUUUUUAAUUUUUGAGACGAAGUCUGGCUCUGUUGCCCAGGCUGGAGUGCAGUGGCACAAUCUUGGCUCACUGCAACCUCCACCUCCAGGUUCAAGCAAUUCUCCUGCCUCAGCCUCUUGAGUAGCUGGGAAUGCAGGUGUGCACCACCACGCCCAGCUAAUUUUUGUAUUUUUAGUACAGACAAGGUUUCAUCACGUUGGCCAGGCUGGUCUCGAACUCCUGACCUCAGGUGAUCCACCCUCCUUUGCCUCCCAAAGUGCUGGGAGCAGGCAUGAGCCACCGUGCCCCGCCUACAAAGCUGACUUCUCAAAGACAAUACCAUACAAAAGAACAAAACAUAAUAUAAAUGAGCCCCUGUUGUUUCUGAGCCGUUUGCCAAAGUACCCUGUCCUUUAUUCAGCAAAGAGGUCCUUGUCCGUGCACAUCGAAGUCGACUGACAGAGCCAGAAGGGAGAACAGUGGCGACAGAAGACAAACCACUUUGGGAGCAAGUCCCCCAGGCACUCCUUCCUGGCACAGAUCCUGAAAUCAUGCUCCUCCCAUGAGGCUGCCCAGAUUGGCAGCAAACCAGGCCAUUGAGCUCAAGAACCUCCAAAGGUCUCAUUUCUAAAGAAGGAUCACAUUUCCUGUGUUGCUGACAAGGAUUAUAAGGUGCAGUGAGGUAAAGGGGCCAAGUCAAUGGGCAAAUGUCUUUUUAGGGCAAAAAAAAAAAAAAAAAAAAAAAAA